This 102-nucleotide non-coding RNA is filed under the name Clostridium magnum DSM 2767. Lineage: Bacteria; Bacillati; Bacillota; Clostridia; Eubacteriales; Clostridiaceae. The record is from RNAcentral.
GAACGCCGUAUGAUGGGAAACUAUCACGUACGGUGUGAACCGGGGGAAAGGCUACUCUGACUGCCACUGUCGUGGUAAAAGCAGUAACCUACCUAUCGGUAU